AGCGAACGCUGGCAGCAGGCCUAACACAUGCAAGUCGAACGGAUCCUUCGGGAUUAGUGGCGGACGGGUGAGUAACACGUGGGAACGUGCCCUUUGGUUCGGAACAACUCAGGGAAACUUGAGCUAAUACCGGAUGUGCCCUUCGGGGGAAAGAUUUAUCGCCAUUGGAGCGGCCCGCGUCUGAUUAGCUAGUUGGUGAGGUAAAGGCUCACCAAGGCGACGAUCAGUAGCUGGUCUGAGAGGAUGAUCAGCCACGUUGGGACUGAGACACGGCCCAAACUCCUACGGGAGGCAGCAGUGGGGAAUCUUGCGCAAUGGGCGAAAGCCUGACGCAGCCAUGCCGCGUGAAUGAUGAAGGUCUUAGGAUUGUAAAAUUCUUUCACCGGGGACGAUAAUGACGGUACCCGGAGAAGAAGCCCCGGCUAACUUCAUGCCAGCCGCCGCGGUAA
This 449-nucleotide ribosomal RNA is filed under the name uncultured bacterium. RNAcentral describes it as "partial 16S ribosomal RNA". It matches the Rfam family "Bacterial small subunit ribosomal RNA", at positions 29 to 523 of the family's 1533-position model. The record is from RNAcentral.